Molecule: ribosomal RNA, 492 nt
Filed under: uncultured bacterium
Lineage: Bacteria
Description: partial 16S ribosomal RNA
Rfam family: Bacterial small subunit ribosomal RNA
Source: RNAcentral
AUUGAACGCUGGCGGCAGGCCUAACACAUGCAAGUCGAACGGUAGCACAAUAAAGGUUGGUUCUUACGUGAGGCGAGUGGGGGGGGGGAGAGGUAUACGGGGGACUCUACGUUGGAGGGGGGGAACAAGUAGGGAAAGUAGCGAAAAUAGCAUAACCUAGCUAGGGGAGAGAGGAGGGGAUCUGCGGACCUUGCCAUCGGGAAUGACCCGAUGUGGGAUUAGCUAGUUGGCGGGGUAAAGGCCCACCAAGGCGACGAUCCCUAGCUGGUCUGAGAGGAUGAUCAGCCACACUGGAACUGAGACACGGUCCAGACUCCUACGGGAGGCAGCAGUGGGGAAUAUUGGACAAUGGGCGCAAGCCUGAUCCAGCCAUACCGCGUGUGUGAAGAAGGCCUUCGGGUUGUAAAGUCCUUUUGUUGGGAAAGAAAAGCAGCAGGUUAAUACCCCGGUGUACUGACGUUACCCACAGAAUAAGCACCGGCUAACUUCGUG